This 74-nucleotide transfer RNA is filed under the name Danionella translucida. It matches the Rfam family "tRNA". From Rfam's summary of the family: Transfer RNA (tRNA) molecules are approximately 80 nucleotides in length. Their secondary structure includes four short double-helical elements and three loops (D, anti-codon, and T loops). Lineage: Eukaryota; Metazoa; Chordata; Actinopteri; Cypriniformes; Danionidae. RNAcentral also lists the same sequence under 1 other name. The record is from Rfam by way of RNAcentral.
GGCCUGUUAGCUCAGCUGGUUAGAGCGUGGUGCUAAUAACGCCAAGGUCGUGGGUUCGAACCCCACCUGGGCUA